This 108-nucleotide microRNA precursor is filed under the name Myotis lucifugus (little brown bat). RNAcentral's name for it is "miRNA (ENSMLUG00000020449.1)". The record is from RNAcentral. Lineage: Eukaryota; Metazoa; Chordata; Mammalia; Chiroptera; Vespertilionidae.
AAUCCAGUUUCCCUGGCCCUGCCCCCAGAGAUUCUGACUCAGUAGGUAAAGGUGGAGCCCAGGAAUCUGCAUUUUCAGGAAGCACAGAGGUGGCUCUCAUACCUGUGG